Non-coding RNA from Oryza sativa Japonica Group (Japanese rice), 1113 nucleotides. NCBI's taxonomy places the organism in Eukaryota, Viridiplantae, Streptophyta, Magnoliopsida, Poales, Poaceae. The record is from RefSeq and is a predicted model, not a curated record.
CGCUUUCCUUUCCUUUCCUUCCUCUCUCUGCUCGAGCCCGAGUAGCCCUCGUCGUCAUUCUUAUCCUCCUACUUCCGUUACCUUUAUAGUUCGCGUCCUCCACCUCCUCUUCCCAUCUCGCCUCACGCCAUUUUUCAUUGCUGCGUAUCGUCGAUCAUCGUUGGUCCGUGCGUUCGUUAGUGUCAUCCGUGUGCGGGAAUGGAAGCGUACAUGUUGUUCUCCCGGAGGGAAGGGAUGAUCAGGUGCGACGAGCAGGAGGAGGACAUCGGGUGCCCGUCUGAGUCGGAGCUGUCGCUCUCGUCGUCGUCGGAGGGGAUGGAGCUCGCCGACGACGCGAGCUCGUCGGGGUCGUCAUCGUCGGCGGCGGGCCACUUCGAGAUGUCCUCGCUCAUGACGGAGCUCCCGCUCAAGAGGGGGCUCUCCAAGUUCUUCGACGGCAAGUCGCAGUCGUUCGCGUCGCUGGCGGCGGUGGGCGGCCUGGAGGACAUGGCGAAGCCGAUGAGGAAGCGCCUCAAGACGUCGCGCAGCUGCGGAGGUCGGGCUCGGGCUGCGGGACGCGCACCGGCGUGGCCGCCUCUCGCCGCGGCCGCUCUGCGGCAAUGCCAGCGCCGCGUCCUUCAAGAAGGUGUCCAAGGGAGGACAGCUGUCCGUGCUCGGCGCGAGCAGGAGGACGCGUUCGCCGGCGACGGCGGCGAUCUCGCCGAGGCCGGAAGGGAUGCCCGGGCAAGCUCUGUUAUUUGCUUAGGAGAUUUGCCCGCGAGGUUCGUGUACGCACUCAUGUCAAGCAUCAUCAUCAUAAGCACUAAGCAGUACUAGUAGUAGGUGACACGGUUGUAAUUACAGUUUUGAAGUGAAAAUGACCAAGGAAAUGUUGUGAAAUGGACGAUGUUCCUUUGCCCCAUGGGCUAUGUAAAUAUUUCAAGACUUUUAGAGAGAUUUGGGGUGAAAAUGUCUCGAAUAGUGGCCGCAGCUGCUAAAUAUCGUGUGAAAAAAUAACACAGCAAGAUCAGCCUGACAAAUCUGUGUUAUGUGGGACGAAAGGAAAUUUUUUGUUCACUAUGUUCAUCGUUGUUAGAUUUAUGAAGAGUAUAUUGACACGGAAUUGCUACGUUC